GAGUGUUACAGCUCUUUUGGAAUUUGUCUAGCAGGUUUUCCAGCUUACCAGAAAGCCAAA
RNAcentral lists this small nuclear RNA (60 nucleotides) under Moschus moschiferus (Siberian musk deer). RNAcentral describes it as "U7 small nuclear RNA (ENSMMSG00000019611.1)". It matches the Rfam family "U7 small nuclear RNA". From Rfam's summary of the family: Animal histone pre-mRNAs are spliced by a different mechanism than nuclear pre-mRNAs and self-splicing introns. This processing involves the U7 snRNP, which contains only one RNA species: U7. Lineage: Eukaryota; Metazoa; Chordata; Mammalia; Artiodactyla; Moschidae. The record is from Rfam by way of RNAcentral.